UUUUUAAUAUUUGUAAGGCUAUCAAGUAUAAAAAUACCUACUUGUGUCCAUCCCUAGUUGUACAACUAGAGACCUGAUACUUUAUCCCAGUUAUGAAAAGUAUGUCAGACAAAAAACAUAGACAAUUUGCUUAUAAUAAUUUAAAAUUUGAUUUUACAUGUAAAAGUAUACAUCAAAUUUAAUCAAAUAUUGAAAAAAAAAACAAAAAGGUAAUGAAAUUAUAACAAUUAUUUAUGAACAAACAAAACACAUAUAAUC
This 258-nucleotide long non-coding RNA is filed under the name Brassica rapa (field mustard). RNAcentral describes it as "long non-coding RNA (BRAP_LNC005079)". Lineage: Eukaryota; Viridiplantae; Streptophyta; Magnoliopsida; Brassicales; Brassicaceae. The record is from RNAcentral.